Molecule: ribosomal RNA, 1269 nt
Filed under: Phymatostetha huangshanensis (nomen nudum)
Lineage: Eukaryota; Metazoa; Arthropoda; Insecta; Hemiptera; Cercopidae
Description: 16S ribosomal RNA
Rfam family: Archaeal large subunit ribosomal RNA (bases 1022-1180)
Source: RNAcentral
UUUUUAAUUACUUAAUUUUUUUUUAUUAUUAUUUAUUUUUAUUAAAGUUUUAUUUUCGUUUAAGUAUUUAUUUUUGAAAUAAUUUUUUUUAUUGAUAGUUUAUUUUUACUGAAUAGGAUUUAUUUAUAUUAAUUUUAUAAGUUGUUUGUUUAAUGUACCUUUUGUAUCAGGGUGAAUUUAAUAAUCUUUAUUUAUAUUUAUUUUUCCCGAAGAUAUAAAAUCUAUGAUUUAAUGAUAUAUAAUGUUAUAUAAUUAUUAUUAAUUUUGUUUUAGUAAUGAAAUGUUAUUCGUUUAUAUUGAUAUCUGGUUUCUUAAGAUUAAAUUUAAUUUUUUAUUAUUUAGUUUUUUAAUUUAUUUUUAUUAUUUACAUUUAUUAAUAUUAUUUUGUUAGGGAUAAUCUUUUCAUUUAUAUAAUAAUUUAUUCUUAUUAACAAUUUUUGUAGGCUUAGAAUUAGUAUUCAUUUAAGUAUUUAAUUAUUUAUUUUGUUUUUUUAUAUUUUAUUAUUAUUUUAUUUUAUAUUAAGAUGUUAAUUUAAAUUUUUUUUAUUGUUUAAUAAUGAUUUAAUUAGUAUAAUUUUUAGUUAUUUUAUAGGAAUUCGGCAAAAUAAUUUUCCACCUGUUUAUCAAAAACAUGUUUUUUAGUAUUUUGUUAAAAAUUUAAUCUGCCCAAUGAUUUAUAUUAAAUGGCCGCAGUAUUUUAACUGUGCAAAGGUAGCAUAAUAAUUAGUCUUUUAAUUGAAGUCUUGUAUGAAUGAUUGGAUGAGAAAAUAACUUUCUUUAAUAUAUUAUUAUAAUUUAAUUUUUAAGUGAAAAAGCUUAGAUUUAUCUAUGGGACGAUAAGACCCUAUAGAGCUUUAAAUUUAUUUAGUAUAAUAGUUUUUUUGUUUAAUGUUAAAUUGUUUAAUUAUAUAAUUUUUUUGUUGGGGUGACAAAUAUAAUUUUAAUAAUUUUUUUUUAAUGAUUCAUUUAUUUAUGUAUUUUUGAUCCAUUUUUAUUGAUUAUAAGAUUAAGUUACCUUAGGGAUAACAGCGUAAUUUUGUUGGAGAGUUCUUAUCGAUAGCUAAGUUUGCGACCUCGAUGUUGGAUUAAGAUUAGAAUAUGGGGUAGAUUUUUUAUUUCUAGGUCUGUUCGACCUUUAAAUUCUUACAUGAUCUGAGUUCAAACCGGCGUGAGCCAGGUUGGUUUCUAUCUUUAGAUUAUUAAUAUGUUUUAGUACGAAAGGACCAAUACAUUUAAUUUAUGAAUUUUUUUGUUUAGAUUAUAAUUAAA